GCCAGUGUGGCGCAGUGGUUUGAGCACUGGACUAUGACUCUGGAGGCCAGGGUUCGAAUCCCCUCUCGGCCA
RNAcentral lists this transfer RNA (72 nucleotides) under Phrynosoma platyrhinos (Desert horned lizard). RNAcentral describes it as "tRNA-OTHER". It matches the Rfam family "tRNA". Rfam says of the family: Transfer RNA (tRNA) molecules are approximately 80 nucleotides in length. Their secondary structure includes four short double-helical elements and three loops (D, anti-codon, and T loops). Lineage: Eukaryota; Metazoa; Chordata; Lepidosauria; Squamata; Phrynosomatidae. The record is from RNAcentral.